This 6116-nucleotide unclassified non-coding RNA is filed under the name Venturia canescens. RNAcentral describes it as "solute carrier family 22 member 15-like, transcript variant X2". Lineage: Eukaryota; Metazoa; Arthropoda; Insecta; Hymenoptera; Ichneumonidae. The record is from RNAcentral.
CGGCGUACUCGGGGAGUCGUAUACGAGCGCGCGCUCAGCUCUAUAUACGUGUGGCUUUAGCUGUCCUCGACUCCUUCGCUAUUCCGGGUUAACCGACCUUCUCCACACCCUAGCAACGCUUGUCUAGAUGACGUGAAACUGGGUCUUGGUUCAAGGUCGAGAACCUCUCGACUAGUGAGAACGCGGUGGCCUCAACCCCCGUGCUACAAACUCCGCUAUACUAUGGCCUUCGAUUACUCCAUCGGAUCCAUUCGCGUCCUGCGACGAAUACCGUUUUUUCAUGCUUCUGCGAACGGACCUCAACCGAAAAAACGGCACUUCGGACUUGUCGCCAUUCAAGGGUUCGAACGAAACUUGAACGUUUCAUUCAUCAUUUUCCGCAGCGACGCCCCAAAUUUCGGGAAUUUUUGUUUUUACGGCCAGUUUCGAAUGGACGUUAUCCCGAAGAAAGCCUGAUCCAGAAAGUGCCUUUAACGCACUAUUGUUGCACGAAUUGAGCCUUGAAAUAUAUGAGAACUAAACAAACAACGCUUUCAUCACCAUUAUUUUCUACACUGUUAUUCGCUUCUUUAGUUUUCUCUCUAUAAAACAUGUUUCAAUUUAUUAUUCUUUGUUAGAAUAUUUGAGUAAGCGAAAGAUGCAAAGCCGAAGUUUUCCGGUAGGAUGAGCCAUUUCCCAUGUUCAGAGUAAACGAAAAGGUCGAGCGGAAUGAGUUAAUUUAAUAUUUCAAGCGCCCCUGCCAAAGCUGGCCCAGACUAGUUCAGUUUUUUUUAUGAUCAUUUCCAUUAUUCGUGGUUGCUUUGACCUUUUGUACGUUCUAGAUGACCCGAGGACUUUUCCUGUGGAAGCAGCCUGAUCCGUCGAGAGGUUUCCCUCCUUGGAAUGUUCGCCCAUGGUGAUAGGUCAAGUUCACAGUUCAAGGCUCAAGGUUCGAAGACCCUAAACGUAUAUACGUGUAUAUUUGGCCAGAAGGGAGAAAAUAGGGAGGUUUAGAAAAGGACAGAAGCCGGACUGCUUUACGGCCACGUUGGAAGUGUGGGUGCUCGAGCGAGGAGAGAAAGAGAGAGCGAGGCUCGAGCAGGCGCUGGUGGUGCGCAAGACGCGCUUUUCCCAUUCACAGGAGCAUCCAGCCAAGAGCUCAGAUAAAUCAGCCUGCCCUGCGGCUUUAUCCCCGUGGUUUAGUCUGUUUUUCAUACCCUUGUUGGUGGAAUCUCCUCUUGACGAAGGCCUCAAAGGAGCCGGAAGUUCGAGCCUUAUCAACGAUCACGAAAGAUCGUCUCAAGAAAAUUCGGCUAAAAUUUGACGACGAUUAACGAGCAAUGCUUCCUCCAUUCGUUCGGCAAAUGGAUCCCCGUUUCAGCAUUUAUGCCUCUUCGUGGUAACGCAGUAUUGUUUUAUCAGCAGAGUCGGAGAACAAUGAAAAUUCACAUGAAACAUUGACUCGGUUGUUAAAUCGAAUAAUGAAGUCGUAAAACGACUAAUUAAUUAUCUGGCAACAUGCUUUCAUUAAGAAUUGAAAAAUCGCUAUAAUAUCUCUUGAUUAAUAUUGAAUUAAAAGUUAUUUCACAUUUUAAUGGAGCUUCCAUGGACACUCUUCGGAAACUGAAAGCUGCAUUUUGCUGCACCGAGAGAAUCUCAAAGGGCUGUAAAAAGGAUAUUUUUUGGAAAAAAAACGACGAAAGUUUAUUACACGAUUUACGUCGGCGACCAAUUAAUUAUGUACCAAGAGGGUGACUGCACAGAAAAUGAACGAAAUGAAGCAAAGCACUCUCAUUAUACAUUGCCAUGUCCCUAAGCAAUGGACGUAUAUUUAUAUUCAGUUGAUAUGCCAGUGACGGCGUUGCGCUUUCGUGUUUGCUAAACGAAGUGUAUCGUGUUAAAUAAAGCGUCUUUAAUAACGUCAAACAGAAAUUGAACAAACUAUUUCGCUACAUUACGUAUCAUUAUGGUGAUCAAUUUGAAAAAAUAUAACUUGUUAAGCUCGCACUAUUGCUCGACAAAGAGUUCGUGUGUCUGUUCGCGCAAUGAACGCAGAAUAAUUGCUCGUAGAAAAACAGUUUUCGAACGAACGAUCUCUCGUCAGGUGAGAUAACAAUUCGCCGGGAAGCAGCAGCAAACGAUAAAAAAUUUCUUCCCAGCGCGCUCUCGGACUCCGCGGAGAAAUUCAAAGACCCGGUUUAUUAUUUUUAUUUUACUCUCGCAGUCGCAUUCGCUAUCGUAGCAACAGCCGAUUCGAGAAGAGAAGAAUAGAAGGGGUUUGAAAAAAUUGGAAAUUUUUCAAUAUUUUUCAUUGGGUCGGUCCAAACACGAAAUUCCGAAUUUUUUCAUUUUUUUGCACCUGUAAAGAAAAAUGAUGGAAGUAAUCGUGCAGUGGCGCGGUGUUUGAAAGGAGAAAAGUAAAUAACAAUAAAAAUGAUGAAACGUCGAUCGUAAAACCAACUUCAGGGCGUCUCGCUUUUAACCAGCAAAUGGACGCAUCGAAAAAUGUAUUCGCAUACUGACAACGGGUGAACAUGAAUUUAUCGAAUAAUUACCGGAUGCCUGCCAUUCCGACACAAAUCAUCGAGGACAUUUAAAGUUGCGUGACUUUUCUGAUGCGGAGUAUCGCCAAUCUUAUAAAUUGCAGGGAUCCUGAUUUGUUGAAAUUACCAAAGGACUUUAUGGACGCGUCAGUCGGUUCGGGACGAUGGCAAAUUCUGGUUACUCUGAUGCUCAGCUUCAUCACGUUCAUUCAUCUUCUAAACACCGGAAACGAAACCCUCCUGCGUCCGCCUGGCUGGUGGUGCAAGAUGCCCGAUUUCAUUGCCGGUUGGACCGAUGUACAGUGGAUUUUGUACAGUCAUUACAAGGAUUCAGACAAGGUCCGAGGGAAAUCGUAGGAACAGGUGCUGAUGCAAAACGCACCGGAGGCUCGACGUUCGGAGAAGCAGGAGCGUGUAAAGGAGACGAAUUUGAGAGUAACUCUCUUAGAGAUCCGAGUCAGAAGGUGCAGAGCGCGAGAAGCAAAAAAUACUCGGCGCGGCGGUGGCAAAGGGACAGAAGAGCGAGGGAGGGAGAGAGCGAGAGGAAAGGACCUGCUUACCACCUGACGGUGUUUCGGCAACCCGAGAGUCUCUUAGAAGAUUUGGUUGCUCGUAUUUUGUGUAUUAUAUCCUGCGUCGACAGCCCUGGCCAUCCGAUCGUCCCUCUGACUCUGCCUUACAGCGCGAAAUAUUGUAAAUGAAAAAGAAAAAAGGCUGAACGAGCGCGUUAAUAAUGUUAAUAAUAACGAAUGCGAGACGAAGAUAAUGCAAAAGCUGAGGUGGAACUCGCACCGAACUCACGUGAUAUUUAAUCGUUGCAAUUAAAACGAAGAGCCCACGGUGUGAACUUGAUUAACGGGUCACGGUCUCAGACUUGCAUUGAAAAUGACUCGUUACCCAUCCAAUUAGUAUAAUAAACAAGGAAGGGAGCUUUCUGGAAAGGACGACCGAAAAAAUGAUCGUUAACGGGAUCGUGAUCCACGAUCCCGCGGCCAAAGCUGCCGGAAAGGAGGAACGAAUUUUGCGGUUUCGUCCUUCGAUAACCGAGCGUUGAAAUAGACCACUUCCGGUUUCACCGCAACUCGUCCCCCAGCGUUUUUCGUCAGGAAACCUCAGCUCUUUGUUCCUCCUGCUCCGAGCUCAUCUUAUUUCUUCCGUAUAUAUUUGUGGCUGAUCUCGUACACACGGAGACAUUCUCAAUGAAGCCACCGCGCCAUGUUUUAUUGUGAGAGAAAACGAAUGAGCCGGUCUUUUACUCGCGCGAUUAAGGAUUUAACGAGGCGGAGUUUGAAAUUGUUAUCGAACAUGGUAUACGCAUAUAUGGAGCGUGUAACUCAACUAUAUACCUUCUGGCAUGCACCUUAAUUUGCUCACGAAAUGUGAAAUAACCACAAAAUCUACAGGCACGUAUACGAAGCAUUUUUAUUCCGAGUCUGAUUUUAUUAUUAUCAUUAUAUCGAGCCGAAAAUUGCCUCAUUGUUGUGGAGCGAGAGAAAAAGAGAAAGAGGAGAGUUCCGAGUCAGCGUGCAUUACGAGUUUCUGUCUUGUUAGGGAUCUUUGCCCAUAUAAUCUCGAGCUCCGGGGAUCCUUCCUUUUUUCUCUCCCUCUUUGUGGUCUCCUAUAAUAGUUCCCUUUGUCGCCGCGUCUCUUAUUCUUUCGCUACAAAAUCAUCGCAAUUACGAAUUCUUCGAGUCUGAUGCUGUCGCACGAACGUUGCGUGGCGCGUGCUGAAUAAUUUAUGAUAUUUCGCGAUACCGAUUCUCCGCGCCGUCCGUGCGCCGACGCAAUGAUGUUCGAUCGCGAAGCAAACUCGAAAAAUUCGAUGCUCCCUAUAUGGAAAAAGCUUUUUUUAAAAAGCAUUGAAAAUUCUCCAAUCUAGCCUUUUCAUAAUGAAUUGCAUUUUUUUCCAGCCCCGUUCAUUCGUCACCGUUUCAUCGGUGAAGAAAUUCUUCGAAAAAUCUCUCCCUCACCGUUCCCAAAAUAUCUGAUUUUUUAAACGCUUCGUUCCCUCGCUCUCUCUCUCUCUCUCUCUCUCUCUCGUCCGCGCACUCGCAUGACGUUAUCGCAAAGGUUCGUCGAGAAUCGAUGAACCGGGCAUUUAAAUGCGACGCUCAAUUGACACUCGUUUUAGGUGAUUUUACGCGAGAACGAAUACACACAAGCUCUAUGAUACGCACGACAGAGCGAAUGAACAAUGUGCAUCUGGCCCGACUGCAUCGAACAAUGCUUCAAUUUUAAUGUCCUGACGAACAAGAGUCAUACUGAUCAGACACAGAGCCCCGAUAAUUAUGCGAGUCGCGUGUGCCCCGCCGAUAAAUUAACGGCCAGAUGUGUCCCCAUUUUUUGUUGCGUCCGAUACCAUUUUCUUGUAACCCCCAUUUUUCCAAGAAAUCAUUCCUCCAUGAAGCAUGUAACUCGAACCGAUUUUCGAACCUUUCUGGAACUCGUAAAUUCAACAUUUCACAAGAAUGCAAAAUUGCUUCGUAAAGUUUCAUUAUAAUUCUGUCAAGCUUACACUAAUUAGGACCAAUUUCGUUUGCAAUUUCGCUAUUCCUCAACGCGUUCAUGAGCCCAAACCAUCGAUUUUCCGAUAAUUUUAUCCACGAGGCCCAACAAAUUCCGACAAGUUCACGAAUAAAACGUAGUUUUCGGGCAUCUAACAAUCCGUUUAUUUUUUCUUUGAAUACGGACUGCUGCGAAAUAGCUUUGUUGACAGAUGCGAAAUGAGGUAUAUUCGACGCGAUAUAUUUAUGCAGGCUUAUUUAAAGACACGCGUAUAUAUUAAAAGGUACACUUGGCAAACGUGUAAUGGGAUAUAAUAUUAGCUGUACUAUAUUUGUACGAUAAUUUCGAUCUGCGUCGCUUUAUAUAAACUUGACGUCCACUGCGCGUGUCUCAUAUCCCCAUAAAAACUCAUGAAUUAUUCAUUCAUCGUUUUCAUACGUACGUAUAUACACAUAUAUAUGUACGCAAGGAUAUUUACUGGGCGAUAAAACCUGAGAAAGAUCUACGAUCGUUACACUCAAGCCGGGACAUAGUACCUCGCACAUAUAUAUAUACGUAUAAAUAUUCGCGUGGUUACAAGUAUCUGUACGUACGGUUAGCAAAAGCCUAUAAUUAAGAGCACUUUCCUCAGUCAUUCAUUAUCGAUAAUUGGUUUAUUAGCCAACGUGCUACGUUUUUCUUUCGAAUAAAAAGGGGCGAGAGAGAAAAACGAAAAGAAAAUAUGACCGCUAAGUAGGCUCCUUCACGAGAGACGGAAGAAUUGGCAACUUUUGUAUAUCGAAUAUUGAUAAAUCAACGGAAAAUACGCGUGGUAUAAUGUUUCAUUGUAAUUUUCAUAUUUCUUGCAUUAUUUUCGGACGUAAAGAGGCUGUCGAAUUUUCAUGAAUUUCAAUUUGCUUGAGCAAAAUAAAUGAGCGCGGGGAAACGAUGGUGAAAAAAAAAUACGCGAAUUUUCGUAUAUCGAAAAGUGCUUUGAGUGCUUUGAAAUUAUCAUCGAGAAUAUAAUAUUCGACGCGCGCACAUUAAAAAUGGAAGCGUACCUUGAUGGAAAAUUUUCAUGUACUUCGGUGGAAUAAAUUUAAACUAAAU